RNAcentral lists this ribosomal RNA (602 nucleotides) under uncultured bacterium. RNAcentral's name for it is "bacterial SSU rRNA". It matches the Rfam family "Bacterial small subunit ribosomal RNA", at positions 880 to 1493 of the family's 1533-position model. The record is from RNAcentral.
GUACGAACGCAAGUUUGAAACUCAAAGGAAUUGACGGGGGCCCGCACAAGCGGUGGAUUAUGUGGUUUAAUUCGAUGAUACGCGAGGAACCUUACCAAGGCUUAAAUGGGAAUUGAUCGGUUUAGAAAUAGACCUUCCUUCGGGCAAUUUUCAAGGUGCUGCAUGGUUGUCGUCAGCUCGUGCCGUGAGGUGUUAGGUUAAGUCCUGCAUCGAGCGCGACCCCUGUCACUAGUUGCCAUCAUUCAGUUGGGGACUCUAGUGAGACUGCCUACGCAAGUAGAGAGGAAGGUGGGGAUGACGUCAAAUCAUCACGGCCCUUACGCCUUGGGCCACACACGUAAUACAAUGGCCGGUACAGAGGGCAGCUACACAGCGAUGUGAUGCAAAUCUCGAAAGCCGGUCUCAGUUCGGAUUGGAGUCUGCAACUCGACUCUAUGAAGCUGGAAUCGCUAGUAAUCGCGCAUCAGCCAUGGCGCGGUGAAUACGUUCCCGGGCCAUGUACACACCGCCCGUCAAGCCUUGGAAGUCUGGAGUACCUGAAGUCGGUGACCGUAAAAGGAGCUGCCUAGGGUAAAACAGGUAACUAGGGCUAAGUCGUAACA